UACGAAGGGGGCUAGCGUUGUUCGGAAUUACUGGGCGUAAAGCGCACGUAGGCGGACUGUCAAGUCAGGGGUGAAAUCCCGGGGCUCAACCUCGGAACUGCCUUUGAUACUGUCAGUCUAGGGUCCGGGAGAGGUGGGUGGAACUCCUAGUGUAGAGGUGAAAUUCGCAGAUAUUCGGAAGAACACCGGUGGCGAAGGCGGCCCACUGGCCCGGAACUGACGCUGAGGUGCGAAAGCGUGGGGAGCAAACAGG
RNAcentral lists this ribosomal RNA (253 nucleotides) under uncultured bacterium. Its description in RNAcentral is "partial 16S ribosomal RNA". It matches the Rfam family "Bacterial small subunit ribosomal RNA", at positions 524 to 776 of the family's 1533-position model. The record is from RNAcentral.